UGAGUAGACCUGUCCACGGCCUUCAGAAUAAGACCGUUUAUGCGGCACUCAGUCCAUUAAAUAGAAAAUUGUCUUCACUUUGAAUGCUGAAAGCGUGGA
Loxodonta africana (African savanna elephant) is the source of this 99-nucleotide long non-coding RNA. It matches the Rfam family "MEST intronic transcript 1, antisense RNA conserved region 3". NCBI's taxonomy places the organism in Eukaryota, Metazoa, Chordata, Mammalia, Proboscidea, Elephantidae. The record is from Rfam.